RNAcentral lists this long non-coding RNA (4946 nucleotides) under Homo sapiens (human). RNAcentral describes it as "HSALNT0384352". Lineage: Eukaryota; Metazoa; Chordata; Mammalia; Primates; Hominidae. The record is from RNAcentral.
GAUUUUUAGUAGUCAUGGGGUCUCACCAGGCUGAUCUUGAACUCCUGACCUCAGAGUGCUGGGAUUACAGGUUUGAGCCACCGUGCCCAGCCUCCAGUGCAUUUUAGGCACUAUGCUUUUAUUAGCUUUUUAAUCCUCAGUAGGACAGCAAAGAUGCUUGUCUUUUCCCUUUCAAAUAGGGCUAAGGGCUAACAGCCCUUAGCAGACCUUCUCUUUAUCCCCUUGACCAGGUUUGUAUCACAUGCCUGUGCCUAAACCAAAUGCUGGCAAUAGGGACGGAAUGAUAAGCUUUGCUUUGAUUAGUUAGAAUGAUUCCCAAGGAAGGGACAAUGUUCUCUGAGCACACAGAGAAUGAUCACUCAAAUAGAACUAGGGCUGAGGCAGGAAGAGAGAAUACCCUGAGGAUAUCAGUUUGGCUUGUAACUAGCAGGGCCUACCUUACAUAGCUGCAAGAUGAUGCACUUGGACCCAAUAGCCCAGAUCCCACGGGUGUCAUAGGAAGUGCUUAUCACGGAGCCUAGCCCAUAGCACCCCUGCUCUACAGACUCACCCAAUCACUGCUCUCAAGAGGGUCGUGCUGUAAUGGGGAAGACUGAUCCAUCAGCAAAUUUUUGUUUGUGUGUUUGUUUGUUUGUUUGUUUUUUAGAUGGAGUCUUGCUCUGUCACCCAGGCUGGAGUGCAGUGGCAUGAUCUCGGCUCACUGCAACCUCCUCCUCCCAGGUUCAAGCGAUUCUCCUGCCUCAGCGUCCUGAGUAGCUGGGACCAGAGGCAUGCACUACCUUGCCCAGCUAAGUUUUUGUAUUUUUAGUGGAGAUGGGGUUUCACCAUGAUGGCCAAGCUGGUUUUGAACUCCUGACCUGAAGUGAUCUGCCCGCCUCGGCCUCCCAAAGUUCUAGGAUUACAGGCGUGAGCUAUUGCUCCCAGCCCAAAUGUUUUUAUACUAAGGUGGAACAUGCUUUAUUAGCUGUAGUCACAGACAUUUAUGGAGACUCAGAAGAUCCCUCAUAUUUAAAACAUGUGUUCCUAGAUAUGCUGUUGAAGUUUAUUUCUUUCAACUGCAUAUCAUUACUUGCUUUCAUGCUCUCUUUGGUCCAUUUUUGGUUUUGGUUUUGGUUUUUGAGAUAGGGUCUUGCUUUCUUGCCCAGGCUGGAGGGCAGUGGCACAGUCACAGCUCACUGCAGCCUCAACCUCUUGGGCUCAGAUGAUCCUCCAGCCUCAGCCUCCCAAGUAGCUUGGACCACAGACGUGCGCCACCACGCCCAGCUAAUUUUUUAAUUAUUUGUAGACACGGGGUCUCACUGUGUUGCCCAGGCUGGACUCAAACUCCCAGGCUCAUGCGAUCCUCCUACCUUGGCCUCCCAAAGUGCUGAGAUUAUAAGUGUGAGCCACCAGACCUGGCCCCCCUUCUUUGGUCUCAAUCCCUCAACUCCAAUAUAGCCCUUUUCACCCACCUUCCCAUCUUCUCUAACCCCGGGGGACACUGGCAAUCUUUAAGCAGAAGAAUUGGCUGCCUGAAAGCCUGUAGAUUUAUUUGGAGGAUGGGUCAAGAAGAAGUCUCCCAAAGGAGCUUGGGGGAAUUCUCCUUUUGAUUUUGUUAUUCAAAAAUGAUGUCAAAUUUUAGAAAAUGAGAGAAAAUUUAGUAGAGUAUAACGGUUAAAGAGUCUCAACUUUGCUACUCAACACUUUUUGACCCUGAGCAACUUGCACUUAGGGGCCUGAGCUUUUCAAUCUGUAAAUACGGCCAAUAAUAAUACCUCCCUCUUAGGGCACUCUGAGCAGUCAUUGAGAGAGCACGUGUAAAGUGUUUUUGCACAGUGCCCAGAAAUUUGCAGUAUUUAAUGGUCCUUCCUCCUUAUUUAUUUUUAUUACUUGUUUUUGUUUUUUUGAGACAGUGUCUUGCUCUGUCGCCCAGGCUGGAGAGCAGUGAUAUUAUCGUGACUCACGGCAGCCUCGACCUCCCAGACUCAGGUGAUCCCUUCACCUCAGCCUCCCAGGCAGCUGGGACCAUAGCUAUGAACAAACACGUCCAGCUAUGUUUUGUAUUUUUUGUGAAGACGGAGUCUCACCAUGUUGCCCAGGCUGAUCUCCAACUCCCAGGCUGAAGCAAUUCCUCAGCCUCUGCCUCCCAAAAUGUUGAGAUUGCAGACAAAAACCACUGCACCUGGCCCCUUCCUCAUUCUUUUUGAAGUAUUUUAGCUUUCAAAAGGUCAAGGACCCUUUAUAACGGUUUGCUAGUUUAGAAAGAAAAAAAAACAGUGACAUGGUGAAAAAGUAAGCCUGCUCUCUCUCUCGUUUUCUAUGAUGCUCUAUCGGGAUUCCUUGGUUAGGAGAUAAGGUCAGGCAUUCUAGGGUAUUCAGAGGGCCCACCUCUUCAUGGGGAAGCCCAGGCUUGCUUGUUCUUAUGUUUUGCAGGACAAACGUCUUAGAACUCCACAGAUGGGGAGUCUGAGACCCUGAGUGAUUAAGUAAUUUUGACCUUGAGCUAUCUAUUUGACUUGAAGUGGCUAAUGGCCAGAUAAGUGCUCUGAGAUGAUAUCUCAGUUUCUGCUAUUUUUCUUGUGAGGAAAAGGAAAAAAAGAGCUUGAUAGUGAUCAGAGUUCAUUUGCAGAAGUGGUUUCCUUUUCCCCAAUCAACUUGUGAGAAUUCACUUCUGUCCUCAGCGUGCGUGCUUCAUUCAUUCACUCAUCCAAAGCUGUCUCAGGCAGAGUGCUGGGGACUGGGUGAGGGCGGGGAGUCUUUCCUUCAGGGGCUUAUUUCUGCUACUGUGCAUGUUCUUCCUCCACAACUUGCAGAUCCAGACCUCUCCUCCUGGCAAGACUUUCUCAUUUCUUUCACGUGACUUUUGGUUAGAAACAUUGGCCUGACUUUGAGGCUUACACCCAGCUUUCUUUGUUUGUGUUUUGUUUUGUUUUUGAGACGCGGUUUCGCUCUUGUUGCCCAGGCUGAAGUGCAGUGGUACGAUCUUGGCUCACUGCAACCUCUGCCUAGCGGGUUCAAGCGAUUCUCCUGCCUCAGCCUCCCGAGUAGCUGGGAGUACAGGUAUGCGCCGCUAUGCCCAGCUAAUUUUGUAUUUUUAUAGAGAGGGGGUUUCACCAUGUUGAUCUGGCUGGUCUCGAACUCCCGACUUCAGGUGAUCUGCCCGCCUCGGCCUCCCGGUGUUGGGAUUACAGGCGUGAGCCACUGUGCCCGACCCUCACACCCAGGUUUUUAGGAUACCCUUGGUUCUAUGCCCCUGAUGACCUGAAGGCAGGCAGGAGAAGUAGCAGUGUGUGUUUGUGUGUGUGUGUGUGUGUCUGUGUGUGUGCAUGCGCGCACGCACAUGCACGUAAGGGGAUGAUGCAGCCCGUGGCGCUUAAAUUCUACCCUCCCCAAGAGUUGGGUCCCUUCACCAAACAUUAAUUUUUUCCGAACUCCAUCUUAUCUCUGUAAAAUAGAAGUGCUGAUUCUUUUUUUUUGUUUAAGUUCUGGGAUACAUGUGCCAAACAUGCAGGUUUGUUACAUAGGUAAACGUGUGCUGUGGUGGUUUGCUGCACCUAUUAACCCGUCACCUAGGCAUUAAGCCCCACAUGCAUUAGCCAUUUAUCCUGAUGCUCUCUCUUCCCCCAGCCCCCUACAGACCCCACUGUGUGAUGUUCCCCUCCCUGUGUCCAUGUCUUCUCAUUGUUCAGCUACUACUUAUGAGUGAGAACAUGUGGUGUUUGGUUUUCUGUUCCUGUAUUAGUUUUCUGAGGACGGUGGCUCCCAGCUUCAUCCAUGUCCUUGCAAAGGACGUGAUUUCAUUCCUUUUUAUGGCUGCAUAGUAUUCCAUGGUGUAUAGGUACCACUUACCUAGUAAUAGACAAGCACAUGCAUUGGGUUUGAAUUUUGCAAGUGAGUUGUUGGAAGGGAACCCCUAGAUGUCAUUUGCAUGCUAAGUGCUUUCCCCGACUGUGUUAUUUGCUGUUCACCCAGCCCCGUGCAUUCCAUCUCUCACAUUUUUCAUGCGAGUGUUCUGCUGCCCAAAGUUACUCUGUAUAGUGUUUAAUCCACUCUGAGUCAGUUCUGCAGAGCAGUCGGUGGUAAAGUCCUUUCACCAGCACUGUCUGAGAGUUCCUGUGACAACAGCAUCCCCGUUCAUUGAGGCCUGAGUGUUCUUUUAGAUUCCUGCUUAAACAUAAACCAGCAGUGAACGAAGAAUCUUUAGUACCUGACGUGAAAUGGAGCCCAAGUCUAUACUGCUGACUGGGCUGGGGGCGCAUGCUUGGUUGGGGUUCAUUAUAUCUGAACUCAUAUCAGGGAGAUGAUUUACUGUUUCUCAAUAAAAGAUGGAGUUUUGAAGAAUACCUUCUUUUGUGUGGGAUGGAAACAUGUGGCUAAGCCUAUUGCAUCACCUUGUACAAAAGAGAUAUUCAGCAGGUAUUUAUUAAGCUAAACUGAAUCAUGCUCAAAGACGCUCCUCUUCCCUAAGCACCAUUCAGUUGAAUGUAACAUGAAAGAGACAAUGCAUCAUGUUCAUUCUGGUUUAGGGUCUUUCCUUGUUGAAGGCUUUCUGCUGUUUAGAGAAAGACCAAGUAUAGCAGCCAGAAAAACACAGAGCUGGCAACUGAGUCACAAAGCUGUAGCAACACAUCACUCAAGAGGAACCCUUCUCACAAUGGGUAGAUAUACAUUGAGUGGUGAUGUGGAGUGAGACGGAUUGAUAUCCACAAUGUCCCAAAAGGAAAAGAGACAAAUUUGACAGUAAUCCAAUUUCCGUCAGCAAAUUUAGAUGAUGAGAUGAAAAGUUAGAUUUAUGAGGAUAGAUUCAUUCUCACUAGGUAUUAUGACGUUAGAACGCCUGCCAGGUGAAAAGUGGCACAUUUUUAGGGGAAUUUAGGUCCAACGAAAAGGUGUUUCCUUAGGCAGAAAUUGAAACAUGAUCUGUCUGUCCAGAGUUUUGUGCCUUCGAGCACACAUGUGCAUGCAAG